GAUGACCUAGUGGUCAGAGCGUCCGCCUCAGAUGCGGGAGGUCGUAGGUUCUAACCCCGACCUAGUCA
Potamilus streckersoni is the source of this 68-nucleotide non-coding RNA. NCBI's taxonomy places the organism in Eukaryota, Metazoa, Mollusca, Bivalvia, Unionida, Unionidae. The record is from the annotation of a GenBank genome assembly.